Molecule: long non-coding RNA, 1600 nt
Organism: Zingiber officinale
Lineage: Eukaryota; Viridiplantae; Streptophyta; Magnoliopsida; Zingiberales; Zingiberaceae
Exons: 2
Source: RefSeq, a predicted model, not a curated record
AGAUUAGAUUAGAUUAGUUGAAUUUUGACAAAUUUAUUCAUGUGGAAGUUUAUUUCUAAUAUUUCCUAAAUUUUUGCGACUCAAAUUUAUUCAACUUGUCCAUUACCUUGUCUAUAAACUAUGCACUUCCAGAAUCAUAAACUAUGCACUUCCAGAAUCUUAUUGAAGCUUGUUAUUGGGUCGGUCUUGAAGCUAUAUUAUGUUAUUUUGGAAAGUUUCUUGAAACAUAAUCCAUUCAAAGAAAUUUGGAACUCAGGAAGUGUGGACUUCCAUUGCAUUUUAUCCAUACCUAUGUUUUCUCUUUAACAUCCUUGCAUCUGCUUAUGGUUUAGUCACUUUAUUGCUAUUCACUUUGUCCAUUCGAAGGAUUUAACUCAAAUUCUAUAAGAUAAUUUGUUGCCUGUUUUCCCUCAGUUUGCUUGCUCGAUGCACAUAACACAACUAGAUAUGUGUUCCAUUCUAAAAGUUUUCUAUAGUUUAUGAUUGGCUUCUAUAUCAAUUUAUAAUUUAACCAUAUAAGAACUAGUGUGUUUAUGGUCAACAUGGUUAUCCAUUAGUAUAACUCAUUACAUGUAUUAGAUGUUCUAAAGAGAUUUUAAAAGUCGAGUUUGGAUUCUUAUUUGUUAAUUUGGGUGCUGAAUAUUUGACCCUAACCCAAGCAAGUUUAUCCCAGGGCUUUCAUUUUUUUUUCCUUCGCUUUGUAUUUUGGUUUUAAGGACUUCUAUCAAAUUGACUCAUUUUGCUCUAAUAUGUUUCAGAAUUUGGCUCUCUUUGGCACACUAUUGUUCUUGGAACUGGAGACCUUCGGACCUUUCCAAAGCGGCACAAGGUGGUCACUUGGACAAAAGUCAGCUGAGCAAUGUGUAAAACAAAUUGUGUUUGUUUAAGCAUCACGAUACCACCAUGUUGGUGUGAUUUCCCACCUGCAGCGGAGAAUAGGAACAAUUUCAUCAUUAAUUAUCCAAGUGUAGUUUUGUUUCUGUUGUACCUUGUUUAUUAGAGUUGCCUUGAGAAACCACAUUAAACUACUUGAUCCGAAUAUGGAGGAUUAAGAUGCAGAAUAUAGAAAAAUAAAAGUCCAUGGCUGCAUAUAUCAAGAGAGAGGUCCGUCAUCAUUUAUCUCCAUUCUCUUAGAAAAUUGCAUGGGCCUAAUAACUUUUCUUUUUUGUUAAAAUUUGUUUGAAAGCGGAGAGUUCUUAAAUAAAUCUAAUAACUUUGAGUGAUUGGUAAGGAUGUUGGAUAUGUAUCUGUGAGAAAAAAGAGUUCUUUAAUGAAUCCAAACUUAUGUGUUGCUUAAGUAUUUUUACCUUAAGUUUUUUGAUCUUUCACCGAUCUAUGUUUGUUUUCUUUGAUACACAGGUUUGUUCUGCCUUGGUGCAACUUAUAGAAGUUCGACCAUCAUUCCUAGAGUGCCUUUUUAGAUAUUUUGAAGGUGAAUGGAGGUAUUAAAAAAUCCAGCUAAAUAGCUCGGGUAUGGAUGAUUACAGGAGAAACUACAUGCUAUGUGGAACUACAUCCGAAGCUCAUGGGUGUGACUGGGAAGUACUUCGACGAAGAACUAUCAAGAAGGCUUUGGGAUUUAAGUGAGAAGAUGGUUAAA